Hyla sarda is the source of this 483-nucleotide non-coding RNA. The record is from the annotation of a RefSeq genome assembly. NCBI's taxonomy places the organism in Eukaryota, Metazoa, Chordata, Amphibia, Anura, Hylidae.
CUUAACAUGAAGACUCUCUUGGGGUUACUCAGUGCUGUACUGUCUCUACAAUGUGUCACUUCACAGAUCUCUAUGGUGGAGUCUGGUCCUGGGAUUGUGAGACCAUCAGAGACUCUGGACAUGACCUGUAAAGUGACUGGAGCCUCCCUGACUGACAGCACUAACAUGUAUUGUGUAGUAUGGAUCAGACAACCUGCAGGAAAAGGCCUGGAGUGGUUAGGAAUGAUAUGUUAUAAUAAUGACAUAUAUUAUGCUCAGUCUCUCCAGGGACGAAUAACUCUCUCAAGAGACACAAAUAAAGGAGAAGUUUAUUUCAAACUCACUGGAGUGAAACCUGAAGAAUCUGGGAAAUAUUAUUGUGCUAGAUACCCACAGUAUUCAGUGGAGCUGCAGGAGGUUCCCUUCUUGGUCGAAGAACUAUCCCGGGUGAUUAAGGACCUUCCAAGGAGCAAGAGCCCAGGCCAAGAAUGGCUACACGGCUAA